CUUCAAUUAUGGAAAGAAUACCUUUUUGUGGGAUCUGGCUGUUGGCUUCGACACUUGUUUUCAGUAAUGCCACUUCUUCUUUUAGAACUGAUAUUGGUUCUAGCAACUCUUUAACUAAUUUGCUAUCUUGUCGCUCACUUGGUUUUUCAGGUUCCUCGGACAGUUUUUCUUCAACUUCAGCCAGUUUAGCACUAAGUGCUCUUAGACUUUGCUCAGUAAUCUUUAGCUUUU
Molecule: long non-coding RNA, 231 nt
Organism: Diabrotica virgifera virgifera (western corn rootworm)
Lineage: Eukaryota; Metazoa; Arthropoda; Insecta; Coleoptera; Chrysomelidae
Exons: 2
Source: RefSeq, a predicted model, not a curated record